This 301-nucleotide ribosomal RNA is filed under the name uncultured bacterium. RNAcentral's name for it is "partial 16S ribosomal RNA". It matches the Rfam family "Bacterial small subunit ribosomal RNA", at positions 509 to 807 of the family's 1533-position model. The record is from RNAcentral.
CAGUCGCCGCGGGAAUACGAAGGGGGCUAGCGUUGCUCGGAAUCACUGGGCGUAAAGGGUGCGUAGGCGGGUCUUUAAGUCAGAGGUGAAAUCCUGGAGCUCAACUCCAGAACUGCCUUUGAUACUGAGGAUCUUGAGUUCGGGAGAGGUGAGUGGAACUGCGAGUGUAGAGGUGAAAUUCGUAGAUAUUCGCAAGAACACCAGUGGCGAAGGCGGCUCACUGGCCCGAUACUGACGCUGAGGCACGAAAGCGUGGGGAGCAAACAGGAUUAGAUACCCCUGUAGUCCCUGUCUCUUAUAC